Harpegnathos saltator (Jerdon's jumping ant) is the source of this 994-nucleotide RNA transcript. RefSeq lists it as uncharacterized. The record is from RefSeq and is a predicted model, not a curated record. The transcript has 4 exons. NCBI's taxonomy places the organism in Eukaryota, Metazoa, Arthropoda, Insecta, Hymenoptera, Formicidae.
AUCUAAACACUACAAAUUAUGUAAAUAAUCAAAUAAAGAAUUAAGUUACAUGAUAUAUUUGCAGGUGGCAUACAAUUUGAAUUGAGUUACAAUAACAUUAAUUUUGAUUGUAACCAAAUACAGUGUUCUGUUGAUGGUAAAACAUUAAUAAUACCAUUACGUGAUGAUGUUGUAAUUGUAGAUCAAGAAACAAAUAAAGAAAAUGAUGCUGCGAUAUGAACUGAAUAUAAUACAUUUACCUGGUGUGAUGCAAGUACAAAAUUAUUUUUAAGUAUUUAUAAAGAGAUGAAUAAACUGUUCAAGAAUAGAAAAAUUGCUACAAAAAAAAUUUUAUGGAAUAAGAUAACAAUACAAAUGAAUAGUAAAGGAUACAAUGUAAAUGUAAUUCAAGUCGAGGACAAGUACAAAUCUCUCGAAAGAUCCUAUAAAAAUAUGAUCUCCAAUAAUAAAAAAAACAGGUAGAGGUCGUAUGACGUGUCCGUACGAAAUAGAAUUGACUGAAUUAUUAGGAUCAAAACACAGUAUCGAACCAUUAGCAGUGUCUGGUAGAGAAGGCCUCAUUAUAAGAAAUGACGGGGCAAUAGAGAAAUAGAGAAUUUACCAAUAGAUGAUAAUAAUGAUAAUCAAUCUAUGGAUGAGCCAAACAUACAAAGUGCACUGGCAACAGAUGUACCAACUUCAAAACAGAAUUUUGAGACUCAAAACAUUGCAAACAUUAUUUAAAAAAAAUGAGAGAAAACAAAUAAGCACUAUAGCUCGAUUUUUAGAAAGUUGCCAAAAAAGUAAAAUCAAACUGUCAACGGACAUUGUUGAAGGUAAAAAUAUUAAGAAUGAGAUACAAAAGGAGUUGUUAAAUGUAUAUCAAAAAAUAAGAAUUGCAGAAGAAGAAUGUGUCGAACAACUUAAAAAAGCUAAUAAAUUGAAAGAGGAAAAAAAUCGACUACUCAAAGAAUUUCUACACUACUCAGUACAAAAGAAUGAAAUGUUUAUUUAA